GGUUAAGCGACUAAGCGUACACGGUGGAUGCCCUGGCAGUCAGAGGCGAUGAAGGGCGUGCUAAUCUGCGAUAAGCGCCGGUAAGGUGAUAUGAACCGUUAUAACCGGCGAUACCCGAAUGGGGAAACCCAGUGUGAYUCGUCACACUAUCAUUAACUGAAUCCAUAGGUUAAUGAGGCGAACCGGGGGAACUGAAACAUCUAAGUACCCCGAGGAAAAGAAAUCAACCGAGAUUCCCCCAGUAGCGGCGAGCGAACGGGGAGGAGCCCAGAGCCUGAAUCAGCAUGUGUGUUAGUGGAAGCGUCUGGAAAGGCGCGCGAUACAGGGUGACAGCCCCGUACACAAAAGCGCAUGUGCUGUGAGCUCGAUGAGUAGGGCGGGACACGUGGUAUCCUGUCUGAAUAUGGGGGGACCAUCCUCCAAGGCUAAAUACUCCUGACUGACCGAUAGUGAACCAGUACCGUGAGGGAAAGGCGAAAAGAACCCCGGCGAGGGGAGUGAAAAAGAACCUGAAACCGUGUACGUACAAGCAGUGGGAGCCCCACCACUAAGCCAGUGGUGAACUCCACAUACGCAUCCUUUGCUGAGGAUACGGUUAACGGAGCGAAAGCGACGUUCAACCUCAAAAGAAGCAGAGGGGGCUUAGUGGUGGGGUGACUGCGUACCUUUUGUAUAAUGGGUCAGCGACUUAUAUUCUGUAGCAAGGUUAACCGAAUAGGGGAGCCGGAGGGAAACCGAGUCUUAAUUGGGCGUUAAGUUGCAGGGUAUAGACCCGAAACCCGGUGAUCUAGCCAUGGGCAGGUUGAAGGUUGGGUAACACUAACUGGAGGACCGAACCGACUAAUGUUGAAAAAUUAGCGGAUGACCUGUGGCUGGGGGUGAAAGGCCAAUCAAACCGGGAGAUAGCUGGUUCUCCCCGAAAGCUAUUUAGGUAGCGCCUCGUGAAUUCAUCUCCGGGGGUAGAGCACUGUUUCGGCUAGGGGGCCAUCCCGGCUUACCAACCCGAUGCAAACUGCGAAUACCGGRGAUACGUUCGUUGGGUAGGGGAGCGUUCUGUAAGCCUGUGAAGGUGGCCUGUGAGGGUUGCUGGAGGUAUCAGAAGUGCGAAUGCUGACAUAAGUAACGAUAAAGCGGGUGAAAAGCCCGCUCGCCGGAAGACCAAGGGUUCCUGUCCAACGUUAAUCGGGGCAGGGUGAGUCGACCCCUAAGGCGAGGCCGAAAGGCGUAGUCGAUGGGAAACGGGUUAAUAUUCCCGUACUUGGUGUUACUGCGAAGGGGGGACGGAGAAGGCUAUGUUGGCCGGGCGACGGUUGUCCCGGUUUAAGCGUGUAGGUGUGUGUUCCAGGUAAAUCCGGUUCACUUUAACACUGAGGCGUGAYGACGAGGCACUACGGUGCUGAAGCAACAAAUGCCCUGCUUCCAGGAAAAGCCUCUAAGCAUCAGGUAACAUCAAAUCGUACCCCAAACCGACACAGGUGGUCAGGUAGAGAAUACCAAGGCGCUUGAGAGAACUCGGGUGAAGGAACUAGGCAAAAUGGUGCCGUAACUUCGGGAGAAGGCACGCUGACACGUAGGUGAAGUGAUUUACUCACGGAGCUGAAGUCAGUCGAAGAUACCAGCUGGCUGCAACUGUUUAUUAAAAACACAGCACUGUGCAAACACGAAAGUGGACGUAUACGGUGUGACGCCUGCCCGGUGCCGGAAGGUUAAUUGAUGGGGUCAGCGCAAGCGAAGCUCCUGAUCGAAGCCCCGGUAAACGGCGGCCGUAACUAUAACGGUCCUAAGGUAGCGAAAUUCCUUGUCGGGUAAGUUCCGACCUGCACGAAUGGCGUAAUGAUGGCCAGGCUGUCUCCACCCGAGACUCAGUGAAAUUGAACUCGCUGUGAAGAUGCAGUGUACCCGCGGCAAGACGGAAAGACCCCGUGAACCUUUACUAUAGCUUGACACUGAACAUUGAGCCUUGAUGUGUAGGAUAGGUGGGAGGCUUUGAAGYGUGGACGCCAGUCUGCRUGGAGCCGACCUUGAAAUACCACCCUUUAAUGUUUGAUGUUCUAACGUGGACCCGUWAYCCGGGUUGCGGACAGUGUCUGGUGGGUAGUUUGACUGGGGCGGUCUCCUCCUAAAGAGUAACGGAGGAGCACGAAGGUUGGCUAAUCCUGGUCGGACAUCAGGAGGUUAGUGCAAUGGCAUAAGCCAGCUUGACUGCGAGCGUGACGGCGCGAGCAGGUGCGAAAGCAGGUCAUAGUGAUCCGGUGGUUCUGAAUGGAAGGGCCAUCGCUCAACGGAUAAAAGGUACUCCGGGGAUAACAGGCUGAUACCGCCCAAGAGUUCAUAUCGACGGCGGUGUUUGGCACCUCGAUGUCGGCUCAUCACAUCCUGGGGCUGAAGUAGGUCCCAAGGGUAUGGCUGUUCGCCAUUUAAAGUGGUACGCGAGCUGGGUUUAGAACGUCGUGAGACAGUUCGGUCCCUAUCUGCCGUGGGCGCUGGAGAACUGAGGGGGGCUGCUCCUAGUACGAGAGGACCGGAGUGGACGCAUCACUGGUGUUCGGGUUGUCAUGCCAAUGGCACUGCCCGGUAGCUAAAUGCGGAAGAGAUAAGUGCUGAAAGCAUCUAAGCACGAAACUUGCCCCGAGAUGAGUUCUCCCUGAGACUUAGAGUCUCCUGAAGGAACGUUGAAGACGACGACGUUGAUAGGCCGGGUGUGUAAGCGCAGCGAUGCGUUGAGCUAACCGGUACUAAUGAACCGUGAGGCUUAACCUU
This 2760-nucleotide ribosomal RNA is filed under the name Salmonella enterica. RNAcentral's name for it is "23S ribosomal RNA". Lineage: Bacteria; Pseudomonadati; Pseudomonadota; Gammaproteobacteria; Enterobacterales; Enterobacteriaceae. The record is from RNAcentral.